Molecule: ribosomal RNA, 310 nt
Filed under: uncultured bacterium
Lineage: Bacteria
Description: bacterial SSU rRNA
Rfam family: Bacterial small subunit ribosomal RNA
Source: RNAcentral
AUUGAACGCUGGCGGCAGGCCUAACACAUGCAAGUCGAGCGGUAACAGGAAUUAGCUUGCUAAUUCGCUGACGAGCGGCGGACGGGUGAGUAAUGCCUGGGAAUAUGCCUUAGUGUGGGGGAUAACUAUUGGAAACGAUAGCUAAUACCGCAUAAUGUCUUCGGACCAAAGAGGGGGAUCUUCGGACCUCUCGCGCUAAGAUUAGCCCAGGUGAGAUUAGCUUGUUGGUGAGGUAAGAGCUCACCAAGGCGACGAUCUCUAGCUGGUCUGAGAGGAUGAUCAGCCACACUGGAACUGAGACACGGUCCAG